RNAcentral lists this long non-coding RNA (441 nucleotides) under Homo sapiens (human). Its description in RNAcentral is "HSALNT0086338". The record is from RNAcentral. Lineage: Eukaryota; Metazoa; Chordata; Mammalia; Primates; Hominidae.
AAACUGAGAAGAAUAAUACUACUGCACAGAGGUGCUGUUGGAUAUUUGAAGGAGUUGUGGAAAAUGGAAAGUUCUAUAUAGUUGUAAGCUAUCAAGAUGAUGAUAGUUAGAAAACGUGAAUGGACACAUUCUCCCAAGAAGAGCUCUCCCUGUGGAGAUGAGCUACGGAAACUGGAAGAGCUCAACAUUAAAGAGCUAGAACAUAUGGGAAGCCCAGAGGUUAACUUCUCUGUGGAUGAUGAAGUAGCUGGACUAAUCUACUUUCCAAAAGUUAAGAAGUGAUCACAGAGAUUCUUCCAGAGAUGAGAAAAUGGGACCACUCUCUGAAUCAAUACUGAGAUGUGAUGUGUCAUGAAUGCAGCAGAGACUCACUGUGUCACUGAGGCCAGAGUGCAGUGGCGGAAUCUAGACUUACCACAACCUCCACCUCCCAAGUUCAAG